Lepisosteus oculatus (spotted gar) is the source of this 1093-nucleotide long non-coding RNA. RefSeq lists it as uncharacterized. Lineage: Eukaryota; Metazoa; Chordata; Actinopteri; Semionotiformes; Lepisosteidae. The record is from RefSeq and is a predicted model, not a curated record.
UAAAACAAUACAAUUGAACAGAUGUUGAUAGUUCUUUGUUUUCAAGCACUGCGGUAAUGUUUUAGUAAGGAAAAGGCAACAAUGAAUAAUAUAAAAAACACUAUAUUUCAAGAAAACUUGAGGCUUUUAUGAUAUCACCUUUAUUAUUCGAGUGAGAUGAUUGUACAUGAUGCUAUCAUAGUAAUCUCACUGUGCUGUGUGAAAUCGACUACAACGGCUGCGAUUCAGCCGGUGACCUGAAGCUCGCUCUCCGAGACUUGGCACAAGUCAGACUCCUAGCUAGCGACGGCCUGAAUCGUGACUCUGCCUUUCCUGAGCGGGGAGCUCCCUCUGUUGUUUCGCGGAGAACUUGUUACUGCUGGAGGAAGUCUGUAGCCUCAAGCACUGAGAGCGAAUACACUCGGGUUACCCCGCUUUACGCUUUUUCUGAAGUCCUGAUUAACCAACCAUUGAAUUUCAACGGUGACCGCAAACGGUGCCCUGCGUGCGCUCAUCAGAAAGCAACCGAGACUAUAAAAAAAACAAAGGUGCCUCCGAUUUGGCGUGUUGCUGUAUCACAGAGCAUUCCUUUUAUCAGGCUGGAUUCUGAAUUGCUCAACUGAAACAGACGAUAUCCGUUAAGUAUUCAAAAGCAACCGUAAGAGCAAUGAAACACAGACUCGCUCAAAGUCAACAGAGGGCAAGAUGUCAAAAAGAUUUUCUGUUGAUUAUCGACCCGACUCUAAGGAGCAUGGAGUAAACCCUGACUUGUUCCUUUGCAAUCAUCAUUUAUGUCAGGGGAGUGAAGUAAAGCACCAAUACCUGCCUAAUUGUGUUUCACUGCGGCUCUGCUAAUUCGUACAUAUUUGUCAACUACAGCAUUAAACUAAUGUACACUAAGGGGUGUUUUUAUUACUCUUGUUAAUCAUUUUGGACUAAACAAUCUUGUUUCUUUUGUUAUUGAACACUUUCCUUGUGAAAACUGUAAGGUAUGGAAAAAGUCAAAGGGAAGUAAAUUAUUAAUAGUAACUAAGUUUCUGUUAAACUGUAAAUGUAUCUUCACUAUCUCCCCAAGGGCGAAGCAAUUGAUUAAUAAAAAAGCUCAUGAAAUCUU